GAUGAACGCUGGCGGCGUGCUUAACACAUGCAAGUCGAACGGUGAACACGGAGCUUGCUCUGUGGGAUCAGUGGCGAACGGGUGAGUAACAAGUGAGCAACCUGCCCCUGACUCUGGGAUAAGCGCUGGUAACGGCGUCUAAUACUGGAUCUGUGACGUGACCGCAUGGUCUGCGUUUGGAAAGAUUUUUCGGUUGGGGAUGGGCUCGCGGCCUAUCAGCUUGUUGGUGAGGUGAUGGCUCACCAAGGCGUCGACGGGUAGCCGGCCUGAGGGGGUGACCGGCCACCCUGGGACUGAGACACGGCCCCGGCUCCUACGGUAGGCAGCAGUGGGGAAUAUUGCACAAUGGGCGCAAGCCUGAUGCAGCAGCGCCGCGUGAGGGAUGACGGCCUUCGGGUUGUAAACCGCUUUUAGCUGGGAAGAAGCGAAAGUGACGGUACCUGCAGAAAAAGCGCCGGCUAACUACGUG
This 469-nucleotide ribosomal RNA is filed under the name uncultured bacterium. RNAcentral describes it as "partial 16S ribosomal RNA". It matches the Rfam family "Bacterial small subunit ribosomal RNA", at positions 28 to 507 of the family's 1533-position model. The record is from RNAcentral.